CUUCUCUCUACACCUUCUCUCUCUUUCUCUCUAAAGCCCUAGAUAAAUAUGUAUCAAAUUCAUUCCCCCAUAUCGUUUAAGGUCUAAACAAACAGACAUUUUGCCAUAGCUUUUAUGUAAGGAGAUCAGAUUUCAAGUCGUUUAAGGUAGCCGAGGGAUCUAAAACAGCUGGUAAAGCUAUUGGGAUCGAUGUCGACAAAAUUAUAUUUGAUAGGAGAUGUCUUUCUGUCACCAACUGGGCCAAGAAGAUCCUUUGGCGGAAGUAUAUGAAAACUGAGCAAACAACAAUUAGUAAUCAUUGUUAGGAUGAAUUACGUUUUUUUGUGUUGUAACUAUUGAAUAACUCUCUGCAACUUAAACUUGAAUCUUGGAUGAUGUGGAUUUUGGGUAUGUUUUAAUA
This is a long non-coding RNA of Nicotiana attenuata, 400 nucleotides long. RefSeq lists it as uncharacterized. The record is from RefSeq and is a predicted model, not a curated record. The transcript has 3 exons. Lineage: Eukaryota; Viridiplantae; Streptophyta; Magnoliopsida; Solanales; Solanaceae.